RNAcentral lists this ribosomal RNA (460 nucleotides) under uncultured bacterium. RNAcentral's name for it is "partial 16S ribosomal RNA". It matches the Rfam family "Bacterial small subunit ribosomal RNA", at positions 338 to 795 of the family's 1533-position model. The record is from RNAcentral.
CCUACGGGUGGCAGCAGUGAGGAAUAUUGGUCAAUGGGCGCGAGCCUGAACCAGCCAAGUAGCGUGAAGGAUGACUGCCCUACGGGUUGUAAACUUCUUUUAUAAAGGAAUAAAGUGAGGCACGUGUGCCUUUUUGUAUGUACUUUAUGAAUAAGGAUCGGCUAACUCCGUGCCAGCAGCCGCGGUAAUACGGAGGAUCCGAGCGUUAUCCGGAUUUAUUGGGUUUAAAGGGAGCGUAGAUGGGUUGUUAAGUCAGCGGUGAAAGUCGGUGGCUCAACCAUAGAAUUGCCGUUGAAACUGGGAGGCUUGAGUAUGUUUGAGGCAGGCGGAAUGCGUGGUGUAGCGGUGAAAUGCUUAGAUAUUGCGCAGAACUCCGAUUGCGAAGGCAGCAUACCGGCGGCGAUCUGACGCUGAGGCACGAAAGCGUGGGUAUCGAACAGGAUUAGAUACCCCGGUAGUC